This 465-nucleotide ribosomal RNA is filed under the name uncultured Klebsiella sp. RNAcentral's name for it is "bacterial SSU rRNA". It matches the Rfam family "Bacterial small subunit ribosomal RNA", at positions 338 to 795 of the family's 1533-position model. The record is from RNAcentral. Lineage: Bacteria; Pseudomonadati; Pseudomonadota; Gammaproteobacteria; Enterobacterales; Enterobacteriaceae.
CCUACGGGAGGCUGCAGCGGGGAAUAUUGCACGAUGGGCGCAAGCCUGAUGCAGCCAUGCCGCGUGUGUGAAGAAGGCCUUCGGGUUGUAAAGCACUUUCAGCGGGGAGGAAGGCGGUGAGGUUAAUAACCUCAUCGAUUGACGUUACCCGCAGAAGAAGCACCGGCUAACUCCGUGCCAGCAGCCGCGGUAAUACGGAGGGUGCAAGCGUUAAUCGGAAUUACUGGGCGUAAAGCGCACGCAGGCGGUCUGUCAAGUCGGAUGUGAAAUCCCCGGGCUCAACCUGGGAACUGCAUUCGAAACUGGCAGGCUAGAGUCUUGUAGAGGGGGGUAGAAUUCCAGGUGUAGCGGUGAAAUGCGUAGAGAUCUGGAGGAAUACCGGUGGCGAAGGCGGCCCCCUGGACAAAGACUGACGCUCAGGUGCGAAAGCGUGGGGAGCAAACAGGAUUAGAUACCCGUGUAGUC